CUGCUGAAGCUCCGCCGACUGCUGAAACUUCUCCUAAGCAGCCUUUGUGAAGGCUCCCUCUUGUAUUUAUAUGCUUAAUGUUCCUUUCGUUUUUAUGAAUGUAAAACUACCUUGCAAGAAGUUGUGGUAGAGAUUGUUGGAAAUAUGCCCUGAAAGUCAAUCUUUGGAAGAAACCUUUCAGGACAAUUGAAUCGAUGUAUGGAUGAUUCUUAUACAUCAAAUGGCAA
Molecule: long non-coding RNA, 227 nt
Filed under: Malus domestica (apple)
Lineage: Eukaryota; Viridiplantae; Streptophyta; Magnoliopsida; Rosales; Rosaceae
Description: long non-coding RNA (MDOM_LNC019249)
Source: RNAcentral